UAGUGGCGAACGGGUGAGUAACACGUGAGUAACCUGCCCUUAACUCUGGGAUAAGCCUGGGAAACUGGGUCUAAUACCGGAUAUGACUCCUCAUCGCAUGGUGGGGGGUGGAAAGCUUUUUGUGGUUUUGGAUGGACUCGCGGCCUAUCAGCUUGUUGGUGAGGUAAUGGCUCACCAAGGCGACGACGGGUAGCCGGCCUGANAGGGUGACCGGCCACACUGGGACUGAAACACGGCCCAGACUCCUACGGGAGGCAGCAGUGGGGAAUAUUGCACAAUGGGCGCAAGCCUGAUGCAGCGACCCCCCGUGAGGGAUGACGGCCUUCGGGUUGUAAACCUCUUUCAGUAGGGAAGAAGCGAAAGUGACGGUACCUGCAGAAGAAGCGCCGGCUAACUACGUGCCAGCAGCCGCGGUAAUACGUAGGGCGCAAGCGUUAUCCGGAAUUAUUGGGCGUAAAGAGCUCGUAGGCGGUUUGUCGCGUCUGCCGUGAAAGUCCGGGGCUCAACUCCGGAUCUGCGGUGGGUACGGGCAGACUAGAGUGAUGUAGGGGAGACUGGAAUUCCUGGUGUAGCGGUGAAAUGCGCAGAUAUCAGGAGGAACACCGAUGGCGAANGCAGGUCUCUGGGCAUUAACUGACGCUGAGGAGCGAAAGCAUGGGGAGCGAACAGGAUUAGAUACCCUGGUAGUCCAUGCCGUAAACGUUGGGCACUAGGUGUGGGGGACAUUCCACGUUUUCCGCGCCGUAGC
This 748-nucleotide ribosomal RNA is filed under the name Arthrobacter sp. SO3-8. RNAcentral's name for it is "bacterial SSU rRNA". It matches the Rfam family "Bacterial small subunit ribosomal RNA", at positions 93 to 852 of the family's 1533-position model. Lineage: Bacteria; Bacillati; Actinomycetota; Actinomycetes; Micrococcales; Micrococcaceae. The record is from RNAcentral.